This 253-nucleotide ribosomal RNA is filed under the name uncultured bacterium. Its description in RNAcentral is "partial 16S ribosomal RNA". It matches the Rfam family "Bacterial small subunit ribosomal RNA", at positions 524 to 776 of the family's 1533-position model. The record is from RNAcentral.
UACGGAGGGUGCAAGCGUUAUCCGGAUUCACUGGGUUUAAAGGGUGCGUAGGUGGAUUAGUAAGUCAGUGGUGAAAUCUCUGGGCUUAACUCAGAAACUGCCAUUGAUACUAUUAAUCUUGAAUACCGUGGAGGUCAGCGGAAUAUGUCAUGUAGCGGUGAAAUGCUUAGAUAUGACAUAGAACACCAAUUGCGAAGGCAGCUGGCUACACGAAUAUUGACACUGAGGCACGAAAGCGUGGGGAUCAAACGGG